UGUUGUCCAUUUUUAAAUGUAGAUAUACUCUUACCCUCUACACAGCGGCAGCCAGACUGCAGCACCCAGGCGUACAUGUCGGUCUUGGAGUGGGAGAGGAGCUGGUCUCCAGUCAGGAAGUUGGCCAGCUCCUCGGGUGUCAGGUGGUCUUUCCUGUCGCUGUACGCCAUCAUCAGCAGGAACAGGUCGCGUCUCAUUGACAUCAUCCUGUAGAAGACGGAGAACUCUUCGUACGUCAGUGUGCCCUGCUGGUCAUCCGUGUCAGCUUCCUGUGAGGUUGGGGAAAAGAUACAUCACAAGUACAUCAGCAGCUAUUAUAAAAUGACAGGUUGAGUGAAAGUGGACACAACGUUAUAGCUUAUAGCAGGAUAUUGGUCGUGUGUGCGCUGCCGUUUGGCCAGCGAGUCCUCGUCACUGAUGCCAGCCAUCAGGUAACGGAGGCCGGUGAUCCAGGUUCUGGCUUCCUCUGCAUUUGACGUCACCAGGUCGAGGGACUCCAUGUGGUUUCCAUGGUACACUGUGAAACAGCAGGCCGGAUCGAAGCUGCCAUCUGCAUGCCGAUGGAAGACGUCUGAUUGGCCACCCUCCGUCACUUUGUACAGCGAGUCGAUGGUGACUGAUGGGAAGAGUAAAAGAAAAGUUUGGUUGUGGUCAAAAUGAUUUAAAAUACUUUUUAUGAAUCUAUAACUUAUGAGUUCUGUCUAAAUGAUGAACAUGGGCAAUGUAGUGUGUUUAGGCUCAAUCUGACACACUGUCUUGCUGCUUUGCGGAACACAUAGACAAUAUACAAGAGUGGAUUCGAUGAUGUCACCCAUUGUCAAGCCACUGUAA
This is a long non-coding RNA of Notolabrus celidotus (New Zealand spotty), 831 nucleotides long. RefSeq lists it as uncharacterized. The record is from RefSeq and is a predicted model, not a curated record. The transcript is spliced from 3 exons. Lineage: Eukaryota; Metazoa; Chordata; Actinopteri; Labriformes; Labridae.